GCGGGGCCGCCGCCAUGGCCUCCUGUGGCGGCGGCACGUCACCCCCUUUCCUCCUUCCGGGGCCGGCACCGCGCCCUCGCCGGGAGGCCUCAAACCCCCCGCCUAUGCACCCCUGUGCCUCUCGGGUAUAGCGGAACUUGAAAAUACUUCAAAAUAUUCCACUGCGCGAAUAGAGGGUAGGACCGUGUCAGGGUGCUGUGGCUCAGGCUGGGAGCGGGGGUGGUACAGGAGGAGCGUUGCUCCUGUGGCCGCUAAGCCCUGCGGGAAGGACUAAAACCACUCGGAAGAGCCUGGCUCCGUCCUCUUGGCACUCUCCCUGCAGGUGUUUGUACGGGUGGAUGAGAUGCCCGAAUGGUCCCAGCUCUCUCAGCCUUUCCUCGGAGGACAGAUGCUUUCUUGUCCGUCAUCCCUGUGGCCCUUUGUUGCCCUCUCUCCAGCAUGUUCACGUCUUCCAUACUGGGGAGCCCAGAACUCAGCACAGCCCUGCAGGUGUGACCUCAGCAGUGCUGAUCGGAGGGCGGGGAUCCCCUCCCUCGACCUGCCUCGUGCAUCCCAGGAUACCAUUUACCUUUUCAGCAAGGGCACAUUGUUGGCUCGUGUUCAAUUUCGUGUCCCCCAGGAUGCCCAGAUCCUUCUCUGCAAUCUGUUACCUUCCUCAAGACAAUGAAAUAUAACUGCUUUUUGACCACAAUAAACUGAGGGAAGUCUGUUAGGAAGGGGAUUUCUUUCUGACUUGAAAUGGCAAAUGCGCCAUGAAAGGAUUUAAAAAAUAAACGAACUCUCAAAUGCAAACUGAUGAACAUUCCAACUCCUAAUUUCCCCAGUAUGGGAAAUCACAUUUGAGCUGAGACAAUUUUUGUAGACCUGUUUUGAAAUCAAAUUACUUACUUCUAAAAGUACCAAAAUCAAGGAAGUGUUCCUUGACCAGCCACAAAAUAACAACCCCAAAACAAAAUAUGCUUUUAGAGCAUACCAUUAAUUUGUAAUUCGUGCAUCAUAUGCAUAAAAGUGUGUGAAUCAGAAUUGUAGGCAUGUUGAUAAUGUUGUACGUGUAUAGGGAUUACUAAUUUUUUGGGUAUGCAACCUUUUUCAGGUAUCCGCGGCUUUGACAAACUUUCUCUGUGAUGGUAUUAGGCAUGGUUCGUGUCUGUCUCAGAUGAAAGUUUUGAGAAAUUUUUAGCCAGCGCAUUUCAGCUGUGUCUAGCUUGUUGCUUUGCCAAGUUUUUGAGCGAAAACAAUAGAAUAGCCGCUGUUGGUGACUGCCCUCCCCCUCUCCCUUGGUUCCUUUGUGUUAUGUUAGAGUAGAGCAAAAGAGCAUAAUUCCUUCUGGUUUCCACGUUAAACAAUCAGAAAAAACCCUAGGACUGCCAGUAUUUAGCUUGAAAGUGUGACAGAGAAGUGACAUGUCCACCCCUAUGCAAACAGUUGUUUGCACAUGCAUGGUUGAGAGUUUUCUAAUGUUCGUGGUUGAACAGGCUGUAAAUUCUGUGGUUUCCUUGCAUGACUCGAUUUCAUGUACACCUGUGCCUUUGUGCUGUUUACACUUCUUUCUUCGUAACCCAAAGGGAAAAGUCACAGGAAGAACCUGAGAGAGCAACAGGUAUCCCAUUGGCUUCCAGUACAAAUGGAAGAAAUGAUCGUGUGAUAUGAGGAUAGAAGGAAAAAAGCCUCCAGGAAAGAGAAGAAUGUGCAGGAUGGGCUCUUGUGAGAUAAGGGCUAGGAUAGGAAAGCUUCUAAGCCUAGGAUAAAACCAGCUAGGCCUCAGGUUUUUUAGAAGGGAAUAAAUUUAAGACUAGGUAAAAGAUAAGUAAGAUACAAGGAUGGGAACUAACCAGGGAAACUGUUGCUUGUCAGCACACAAUACGACUUGAUAAAAACCUAGUCAGGAGGGAGAAGGAAUAGAUUUUGCUAGAUAAAGAGACAGCAUUCAGAAAGAAUGGACAAAGUGCUGCAUAGCAGCUCAUUAGGUAAAUAAAUUUUGCAAAUGUGCACAGUGGGUCCAACCAUUAAGUUAAUAAAACAUUGUAGAGAAGGUUUCAGAAUUAAACAUUAUUUCUGCCUCUGCAAAAUCUGGGAGCAAAAGAUUUUAAAAAGCAACCCAGAAGAGUUGAUUCCACGUGUCGAGUCCAAGUUUAAAGUACUGGAAUUCAGUUUUUACAGCAUCGAAAUGGUAAUCUGUCUGUUUAGGAAAGAGGCCUCAAUGGUGUGAAGUGCAUAGCUAGAUACAUGAAAAGAAUGUAGCCCAAUUCAAGACCGUACUGAGAGAUUCACUUUCGUUUUUGUCCAUCUCUGUCUUGCCCUGAAGUUGUCACAAACUUCGCUGAUGACAAAAGCUGUUCUGGGCUAUCCCAUCCUCUUGUUGAAGCCCUUCUCACCUUGACCUUACUGUGAAGCUAGACUGAACAGUUACCGAGUACUUAGAGUAGUCUGCAUAGAAUUUUAAAAUUUGGCACAAAUUCUGCCCAUUGCUAGGAUUUCAAUGUAAUGUAACUUACUCCAAUAGGACUGAAAAGGCUUUCAUGUUUGUUUGAAUAAUCAAAAUAUUAUGUUGUCACUCCAACUUAUUUCAGCUUUUCACAUUCUCCUUUCCUAAUGGAUAUUCUCUUUGCCCACACCAGAGCCAGUUACAGUUCUGCCCUUGUUUUUUUAAAACAUAAAUCCACCUGCUACAUAAAUGUGAUAGUCUUCUAAAAAGCUAGGCUCUAGAAUUUGCUUGGUUGAUGUUACUUAAUGCAUUGCAGUGAGCAGAUGUUUAGUGGAUUGAGGAAUUCUUACAAUUUCUUCUAGCUAGCACAUUAAAAUAAACAGUCCUAUAAGCAGGGAGGUGGGUAGGUCUUAGUUUCUUUUGUAUUGUCUUUUGGGUUGAUUCUCAGUGAUCUGCCAUGCAAGCAAGACACAAUAGAAGCUGUUCUCCUGGUUGCAUUAUUAACUUGGCAUCUAUUAAGAAGAAAAUUUAUGGUGAACCUUUAUUUGUCAUUGAAGAAAUAGUUACCUCUCUCACCAGUCUUUACAAGACUGUUAAAAAGUUGUAAUGCUUUUGCAAUGCUACUUCCUUACAGUUAAUGAAAAGGUUUAAAUAUCACUGAAGAACACAGAACCACAUACAACUGAUUUACAAGCCUCCUUUCCUCUGGCAAAUAGGCUAAACAAGGCAGAUGUAUGUGUGCUUGUCUCCUAACUUGCCCUCUGCUUCAUCUUUGCCUCGUCCCCUUUUCUAGUGAUUCUUUUGGGAUGGGAGGCCACAAGACCUACCGAUCAGGAGAUGUGCCUGGGAGCAGAAACCAGGGGUUUGUCGCCAGUUCCAAUCGUCAUUUGCCAUGGCAAUAAGUGCCGGCAGGACAGCUAUGUACUUUUCUUUUUUUCCUCUCUUUACCACUUACCUGAAAACAGUAAAACAUUCUCUUGCUCUAUAUUUGUACAGGGGAGUCGCAAUCAUGUAUCCAAAUUCUAACUGUAUUCUACUUCAGUGGGUAACAGUAAAUCUUGUAAUUUCUUACCUCCACAGACCAGAGUUUUAAACUCUCUCAAAAUAGAAAAAUUCCAGUAUCUCAUCUGAACAUGCAUGUUCUUCCUUCCUACAGGAAGUGCUAAAACUCUUAAUGCUUAAAAAACUAGCAGAUUAUGAAAUUCUUAGAGAUGCACAGUUCUCGAGAAAUUUUAGCAGGGAUUUGAGAAGAAGCAAUGGCAAUACUUCCACCAAGUUACUUAGACUUACGGCAAUGCUCCUGUUCCACGCUAGAUUUUUGUUGAAUUUCAAGCUAGUACUUCCUCCAGGCUAGGCCAAGUAAUUAACUUUAGUCAAAUGCAAAAAUAAAUUUAAAAGAAAAUCAGGGUGAUAUACUGGGAAUGGCAUUUGUGAUUAAGUGAAUACAGUUACUCCCUUUUGAAAAACCUUAGUAUCACCAAGUUGAGAUGCUUUAACCUCUUCCGUAGCUAAAGAAGUAGAAUAGCAUCAGGAAUAGAAUAGAAUAGAAUAGAAUAGAAUAGAAUAGAAUAGAAUAGAAUAGUUCAUUUGGAAAGGAUCAACAAUGAUCAUCUAGUUCAACUGUCUGACCACUUCAGGGCUGAAACACUAUUAAAACAUAUUAUUAAGGGCACAAUCCAAAUGCCUCUAAACACUGACAUACCUGAGGCAUCAACCAUCUUUUAGGAAGAUUUAAUUUAAUUUAAUAAUGUCUAGUCUGAAUCUCCCUUGGAACAGCUUUGAGCCAUUCCCAGGCAUUCUGUCCCUGGAUCCCAGGGAGAAGAGCCCAGCACCUUCCCCUCCACACCCCCUCCUCAGGGACCUGCAGGGAGCAAUGAGAUUGGCCCUCAGCCUCCUUCUCUGAACUAGACAAAGCCAGAGUCUUUGUGUAGGACUAGACUAUUACUAUAGAGAUGAUGCACUAACAAUAACGCUCAUCAAUUAUAGUCGUCAAAAAUCUAUAUAAGCAUUAAUUUCCCAUCUCUGAGCAUUUAACCAUUACCACAUUCAUUUUUACUGAAGUGAUUAUAGGGCUCAUUUAGAUUAAAUGGGAAGAUACUUUGCAGUUUCUGCUAGCAUAAAGCAGCAGCAAUAUUGCUUGGUAGGUCAUUUUAAUUGACCUCAAAGAAAUUGUUUCAGCAUGACUCCAUAAGUUUGGGCAACACUGGUCUUUCCUACACUAUUUCCUCAGGACUCCACAGAACAUCAGCAAUACAGAUCUAUGGUGUAACAAGUUCCACACCUGACACCACAGCUGACUGAUGUGAACCUACAGGUACACAUUCCUGGGUUGUUGACCCAAGUAUGCCAGUGUGCUCAAGGGCUAAUUAGUAAGGUCUUCUUUAAGUGGAGUUUUAUCUUAGGAUGUGCAAGUUUGCAUUAGAAAAAGGCCAUUAGACUAGGAUAUAAGAUGAUGAUCAGAAGUCCUUGUUGUGGAAACCACCAAAGCACAAAAUCAUCUGUAGGCAUGAAACCCCAUCUCUCUGCUAAAUCUGGUGUCAAAAGUGUUGAAGGACAGAGGUCUUGUCACAGUACUAAAAAAUACUUAGGCUGGGCAUAAAAAAAUGUAUCUGGUGAACUGUUAAAGGAGUGCUGAAUCGGUCUUACGAGUGCCUCAAUCACACCGAUUGUGUGCUGUAGUGCUGUAAAUUCCAUUUAAGAAAUAAAGAAUUGUUUUUCUGUCGAAAGUCUGGAGAAAACAACUUCUUGCUCUGUCACGUUUACAGCAUUGACGUGGCUGUGCUGGGUACGUUUGCUGUCUCAGGUGUAUCAUUCCAAGAAAAUGUCCAUAUGUUAAAAGGUUAGUCCUUAAUUUUACACUCUCUCAUAGUUACAGUAGCUGUCAAAUAUAGCUGCCUUGCAGUAUAUGCUGUAUGAAGUGGGUUUCUUAAAAUAUUUUGGAACUAUGUUAGGAAGCUGGACAAAAGUAGUUUGACAAUGCCUUCUCUUAUUAAUUGGUCCAGGUGCAUCAGGUGUGGCUCAAUGAUGAUUUUUCAGCUGCAUAGUUCAUACAGACCAUAGCAUUAUUUAUCCUGUGCAAACACUGAAACAACACUCAUGCUUUUCUCACUGUACGGUCUGGUUAUUUUUUCAUUGUCUUUUAUCAGGAUUUUCAUCAAUGUUUCCCCACAGCUUCCAGAUUGUUCACACUGCAGAUGCAGCAGUUCUGUUCACUGGGCUGGGCAACAGCAAUCACGUUACCCAUGCCCUGCAUUCUUUACAUUAGUUGCUCAUAGGAAGAUAAAUUUAAUAGCUAGUACUAAUUGGGGAUGGAAGGACACUUGGUUGGUUGUUUUAAAAUCUGUGACUGUCACAGCAAGAAGGCCUAAGCUCUGUUUGCUUUUUACUGAUACUUUUGCUAGUGACUGUUUAUAUUUUGAUGCAGCCCAUUGCCUACAAAGAUCAGUUUGUUAUAGCAGUUUACCCUGAUAGAGCUCUCGUGAAUGACACUUAAGAUAUGAAGCAGGUGUAUUUGAGUGCAUUUUGAACCUUAGAGUUUUUCAGUACUAUUUUUGUGGCUGAAUUUCAAUUUUCCAUGAUUAUUUAAAUUAUUUAGAAGCCCUGCAAUGCUUCUGACUAUAACAUCUUAGGUAUGGAGUGAACUUCACUGGCUAACACUUUAUAAGCACUAAAUUGAGGCUACAGAGCUUUCUCAUUGUGUGUUCCCCAGUAUCUUCUGGAGAAGCCCUGCCUAAAGUGAAAUUUUUAGUGUUUCAGGAAAAGUUUAAGGCAUAUUUUUUUGUUAUUUAAGGGAUCCUUUAUAUUCUUCUAAUAACCAUUAUCAAGGGAUGUUCUGAAUAUUUUAGAUCCCAUAGGUUUGACUGCUACGAAGUUUCUGGAUUUUAUUAUUCUCUAUUAUAAAAGGAAUAAAAAUUUUGUAGGUAGAAAUUCCCAGCCAGUAUUUUUCAUUUAAAUGUAUAUCUUAGCUUUUCUAAAAAAGCUAUAGUACAGAAUUAUUUGUGGCAUGAUUCUUGCUUUAAAAAAAAAAAAAAAAAAGACUACAAACAUCCCACUUUGUACGUAAGUUGAAAAUUGUUUUAUUUAAAGGUGUAAUGGGUAUAAUGGUCCAGCUGCGAGACUGUUGCAUUUAGCUUGUAGUUAUUAAGGACUUAACAUCGAUAAGGUUAUGUUCAAGAAACCCAUUUGGAUAAAGCACAGAAUGAUUUACAUCAAUAUAUGCUGAGGAAAUGUGUUUCAUUGAGAAAAAGGUACAGCAAAGAGUGAACCUCUCUUUCUGUAGGCAGUGACAAUCAUGAAUAGCAUGGUAGAAAAUGUUUUGGUUCAUUAUCUUCUUCAUCCCUGGCACAUUUAAUGUCUAUAGCUUCAUUUAAAUUAAUGUGUUUCUUCUUUCUAGCAUCUUAGGUAUAUGCAGAGCCACUGGUAGUCUUCAAAUAUUAUAUGGAAACCUGUAAUGACACCCUUUUGCGAUUACUUGUAUUAGAGAUGACAGAGUUUUGUUCUGAAGUAAUAGAAAUGAAGGAAAGAGCAUUGCAUUUUCCUAAUAAUUAUUAUUUAUAUAUAUUUUUUUCGUUGUUUUGUAUUGCUUCUUAACUGCACUUGGAGAGUUAAGACAGAUCAAAGCUAUGCAUUGGUCCAGAUGCGAAGUGCAAGAAGAGCAAAAGAGCAAGAAAUGAGGCAGCAGCAGGAAUAGCAAUUUGGGACACCUGUGAUAGGUGAAAGGAUUGGGAGAUGUCAGAUAAUCAGUAAGAGUGCUCUUAUGCACUGCAGAGUCAUGCUGGAGAAUGCGGCCAUUAAACUAUUAAGAUGAUAAACAGAGAUGGACAGGACCAUAAGCUAUAUAUUGCAGUAGGGUUCUUUCAAUUUUUAAUCUAGCUUUUUAUGAGCUGCUUGUAUUGAACAACUUUGAUAGGGAAAUCUGUAUGAUUCUCGUUUUGUAGCUGCUCAUCACAUCCUUCAAAGACCUGCGUCCAAGUGUAUCUUCACAGCUGAUCACGGCUGAUACAAAGAGAGUUUUAGUGCCCGUUGCAGCAUACGGGGGAGUGAGCUGUGGAAUUCCCCUUACUUCAAUGUGACGUCUGACACUGAAACGUGACCGUGGACAAUACAGCGGGACAUAAGAAACAGAAAUCAUAGAUCUUUGUCAAGGCUUCCGAUUACACUGUGUUGUUCCAACAGCUUCUGAAAAUGAUUCUGAAGACUGAUGCUGGUAGAACUUUCAUACUGCAAGAAACAAACGGAAUCGCUGCAGAAGUGCUGAACUGGCAAGAACAACAUCAGCAUCCAUUUGUUUUAUUCCUCUCCUUAGUAAAAAGCACAUUGAAUAUUACUGUAGUUUUUGAAGUAUUGUUGAAUUCAAAAUCAAUUGCUGCACAGAGGAACUUAGUGGACUUGAGAACUACUUGGCACGUGUGAGGAUUAGAUACGUAGAAAGCAACUUCCCUUUUUAAAUUAUGAGGAUGUUGUGCUUUGUUUUGGAAGGCAUCAGAUUCCAAAUAUUCGAGGAAGCUCUGUCUCCCUUUGUGUUUCCUUACUGUAGUCAGACUUCUGGUUUUGCCUUACUGAGCUUUGCUCCUGUACUGGCAUUAAGUGGUUAUAGUGGGUUUCAGGGGGAGGGCUGGGGUGUCCAUGUACUUACAUAGGUUUUGUCUGGGUGUUCUUAAAUGCCCUCUCUUGCUGCAUCACAUAAGUGAUUGCUUCCAUUGUGAGUUAUUGUUGAGUUAACUCCAUUGAGUUAUUCCAUUGUGCUUAUCCUUGAACACAAGGAUAAGCAAGAUACUGAAGAGAUUAUUUGGGUUUUGUCUUAUUUGAAGAUUAUUAUUUAACUCAAAAAGCAGUAAGAGCUUGCAGUGAUCUUUUAAUACUUGAUGAUGGCCUUUUUAUGUACCAGUCUGGAAAUCUGAGGUUAUAUUUGAUACCAUGUGACUGUUCCAUUAUGGAAUACUGCAGGUGUAAACUCUUGCAUUUCAGCAUUCCUAGCAGAUACGCAACUUGAUAAAGACCUAAGGCUGUUUAGUUUAAUCGGACUAUUUUUAGAUCCCACCCUCACUGUUCAAAGCACUGGUUAUCCAUGUGUUUUCUAGUGUUGUCACUUAUUUAUAAAUAAAGAUGAAAGAGGUAAUGCA
Long non-coding RNA from Corvus hawaiiensis (hawaiian crow), 8547 nucleotides. RefSeq lists it as uncharacterized. The transcript has 2 exons. The record is from RefSeq and is a predicted model, not a curated record. NCBI's taxonomy places the organism in Eukaryota, Metazoa, Chordata, Aves, Passeriformes, Corvidae.